This 946-nucleotide long non-coding RNA is filed under the name Hordeum vulgare. RNAcentral's name for it is "long non-coding RNA (HVUL_LNC019867)". Lineage: Eukaryota; Viridiplantae; Streptophyta; Magnoliopsida; Poales; Poaceae. The record is from RNAcentral.
CCCUUUUAAUGUAAACAUCAUUUUUUGGAUUGGACGGGAAGGCCCCCCCUUAAUGUAAAUAUCAUUACAAUAAUAAUCAUUAAAAAUUGGGGUCAGAUAAAUUGUUAUUACUCUCUUGAUGUCAACAUUUUCUUCUUGUUCAGGUAGAAUUUACAUUAGUUGGUCCGUCUUCCUCCACAAUAAUUAUAGUUAACUUAUGAUUUUUAUUUAGUUGAUUAGUCUUCCUCCACAACAAUUAUCGCCAAGUCAUGAUUUUGGUUUAUUAUUAACACACCAGUGAUCAGUACUAUUUUUUUUUUUUUUGCGAGUAGCUUCCAUCUAUGAUAAUACAACUACCGAUUAGCUUGCAUGUUUUUUUACAAAAGAUGCGAAUUUAAAAACGCCAUGUUAACACGUAUAGCAGAGAAAAGGAAAUUAAAUCCAAGAUUUAACGGUGCAAGGUAUGCAUCAUGUAUGCAAAGAGAAAGCACUAUAAAAUAUAGGGAAUAGAGAACGGAAAAUUCAUAAUAUGGUUAUGGCAUACCUCCUACCGGUGGAUUGGCGUUGGUGAUCAGGCGAUCGACGAUGACCUAACAUCGACCAAUGUUUGGAGGCGAGAGGCGCUCGGGUGUGCGUGUACCUACAAAUCCAGCGCUUGGAGAAUGGAGGCACUCGGGUAUGCUCAUGUCGUGUGCGCCGGUGAGCUUCCUUGCAUUCAGAGCUGAGACCAAUUAGUCGACUCGCAUCUGGGCCCCAGGGGAAAGCCGAUUAGAGAUUUAGGGUUCAUUGGCAUGGCGGCUCGCGAAAAGGAAGGAAAGACGACCUAAUUACGUUUGUAGACAAAAAAACGACCGGUAAUUACGUGAAUUCUGGCUGCGUACAUACACAACGCAACGUAGGUCCAGCACUGCCUCUUUUGCUGGGCCAUGGACCAACUUUUUUCUUUCCCUUGAGCGGUGGGCUAGGC